UACAGGGGGUGCAAACGUUGCUCGGAAUUAUUGGGCGUAAAGCGCGCGUAGGCGGCCACUUAAGUCGGAUGUGAAAGCCCCUGGCUCAACUGGGGAAGUGCACCCGAAACUGAAUGGCUUGAAUACAAAAGAGGGCCGCGGAAUUCCCGGUGUAGAGGUGAAAUUCGUAGAUAUCGGGAGGAACACCGGUGGCGAAGGCGGCGGCCUGGGUUGAUAUUGACGCUGAGGCGCGAAAGCGUGGGGAGCAAACAGG
Molecule: ribosomal RNA, 253 nt
Filed under: uncultured bacterium
Lineage: Bacteria
Description: partial 16S ribosomal RNA
Rfam family: Bacterial small subunit ribosomal RNA
Source: RNAcentral